GCACAGUCGAUAUCGCGCCGGACUUCGGGCUUGAAGGUCGAGGGUUCGAGACCUGCUCCUUGCUGUUUCAUUACAUUGGUGUCAGAAGUGGAAUCGGACCUUGCAUCCACCACAGUGCGUGUGCUUGGCCGGUGAGCGCGUUCCUGUAAGACGUUGAGUCGCAAGCUAGCGCGAGGACGCGCUCUUUGAAAGGAGGGAGUAGUGUAACGACCCUGGGUUUAUGCUUUUGCGGCACAGUCGAUAGCGCGCCGGACUUCGGGCUUGAAGGUCGAGGGUUCGAGACCUGCUCCUUGCUUUCAACCUUGCUGUUUCAUUACAAUAUUAUUCUCGGGUCUUCUCUCGCUCUCUCUCUCACACACACACACACACACACACACACACACACAUAUACCUGAACCCCCGCCCAUUUCAGUCAUAAAACUCAAGCACAACACAGACAGACACGCCAAAAUAGCUGCCGCGUCUCUGUCGGAUCUCGUCUGUUAAUCGAUCUCACUUCAGCUCAGAAUCCCAUUCCGCUCCUGCUGUCCCAUAUGAAGAGGGGGAAAGAAAGCACUCCCCGACCACGCACGUUCACAUCGAAGCUGUCUUCAACUUUCUCGCUGACCAGCUUUUUCGCAGCGGAACAUGAGUGAUAAAGAUAAAAACGCCGCCUACCCCGGCCAACCCUGGCCGACGCUGUUUCUCCACCGACUAUUGGAUAAAGGGAACCAUGAGGUGUUAACAACGCUCGGUGGAGACUAAAGAUUCUGACUGCCAAUGUGUCCAGCCUGAGACAUGCCCUUAACACUAGAAUCGCUGGGCCUCGAGGGACGCCCCUUCAGAAGCGCUGGGCCUCGAGGGACGCCCCUUCAGAAUCGCUGGGCCUCGAGGGAUGCCCCUUCAGAAGCGCUGGGCCUCGAGGGACGCCCCUUCAGAAUCGCUGGGCCUCGAGGGACGCCCCUUCAGAAUCGCUGGGCCUCGAGGGAUGCCCCUUCAGAAGCGCUGGGCCUCGAGGGACGCCCCUUCAGAAGCGCUGGGCCUCGAGGGACGCCCCUUCAGAAGCGCUGGGCCUCGAGGGACGCCCCUUCAGAAGCGCUGGGCCUCGAGGGACGCCCCUUCAGAAUCGCUGGGCCUCGAGGGACGCCCCUUCAGAAUCGCUGGGCCUCGAGGGACGCCCCUUCAGAAGCGCUGGGCCUCGAGGGACGCCCCUUCAGAAGCGCUGGGCCUCGAGGGACGCCCCUUCAGAAGCGCUG
RNAcentral lists this long non-coding RNA (1235 nucleotides) under Salmo salar (Atlantic salmon). RNAcentral describes it as "lncRNA (ENSSSAG00000099558.1)". The record is from RNAcentral. Lineage: Eukaryota; Metazoa; Chordata; Actinopteri; Salmoniformes; Salmonidae.